CCUACGGGUGGCUGCAGUGGGGAAUAUUGGACAAUGGGCGAAAGCCUGAUCCAGCCAUGCCGCGUGUGUGAAGAAGGCCUUCGGGUUGUAAAGCACUUUCAGUGGGGAAGAAAGCCUUGGGGCUAAUACCCUCGAGGAAGGACAUCACCCACAGAAGAAGCACCGGCUAACUCCGUGCCAGCAGCCGCGGUAAUACGGAGGGUGCGAGCGUUAAUCGGAAUUACUGGGCGUAAAGCGCGCGUAGGCGGUCUGAUAAGCCGGUUGUGAAAGCCCCGGGCUCAACCUGGGAACGGCAUCCGGAACUGUCAGGCUAGAGUGCAGGAGAGGAAGGUAGAAUUCCCGGUGUAGCGGUGAAAUGCGUAGAGAUCGGGAGGAAUACCAGUGGCGAAGGCGGCCUUCUGGACUGACACUGACGCUGAGGUGCGAAAGCGUGGGUAGCAAACAGGACUAGAUACCCGUGUAGUC
Molecule: ribosomal RNA, 465 nt
Filed under: Vreelandella stevensii
Lineage: Bacteria; Pseudomonadati; Pseudomonadota; Gammaproteobacteria; Oceanospirillales; Halomonadaceae
Description: partial 16S ribosomal RNA
Rfam family: Bacterial small subunit ribosomal RNA
Source: RNAcentral